GGAUGUGAGCAUGAUCUGGCUGUAACAUCUGUCACCCCACUGAUUGCCAGGGUUUAUUUGGCUCAUCUACCUGGCUAGGUGGGUGACCCCUUCCUCUAUCACUGCUUCAUGUAUGUCCUUCCCAAAGCUGCCUGCUCAAAGAAACAACCUUCCCCAAUAGAGGAGGACUGUUCUUCAGUCAAGGGUACACAAGUAGCUGCACUUCCCUGCUAGAACCUUCAAACAAACUCCCAAGUGCAUGUAGAACAUCCUCUAGGAUAGAAUAACUUUAUACCAGGGCAUAAAACAAACUUCAGUAAGUGUAAAAGGAU
This is a non-coding RNA of Heterocephalus glaber (naked mole-rat), 311 nucleotides long. Lineage: Eukaryota; Metazoa; Chordata; Mammalia; Rodentia; Bathyergidae. The record is from Rfam.